AGUGAACGCUGGCGGUAGGCCUAACACAUGCAAGUCGAACGGCAGCACAGUAAGAGCUUGCUCUUACGGGUGGCGAGUGGCGGACGGGUGAGGAAUACAUCGGAAUCUACUUUUUCGUGGGGGAUAACGUAGGGAAACUUACGCUAAUACCGCAUACGACCUACGGGUGAAAGCAGGGGAUCUUCGGACCUUGCGCGAUUGAAUGAGCCGAUGUCGGAUUAGCUAGUUGGCGGGGUAAAGGCCCACCAAGGCGACGAUCCGUAGCUGGUCUGAGAGGAUGAUCAGCCACACUGGGACCUAGACACGGUCCAGACUCCUACGGGAGGGAGCAGUGGGGAAUUUUUGACAAUGGGCGGAAGCCUGAUCCAGGCAUACCGCGUGGGGUAAGAAGGCCUUUGGGUUUGAAAGCCCUUUUGUUGGGAAAGAAAAGCAGCAGGUUAAUACCCCGCUGUUCUGACGGUACCCAAAGAAUAAGCACCGGCUAACUUCGUG
Molecule: ribosomal RNA, 492 nt
Filed under: uncultured bacterium
Lineage: Bacteria
Description: partial 16S ribosomal RNA
Rfam family: Bacterial small subunit ribosomal RNA
Source: RNAcentral